Molecule: unclassified non-coding RNA, 814 nt
Filed under: Hevea brasiliensis (rubber tree)
Lineage: Eukaryota; Viridiplantae; Streptophyta; Magnoliopsida; Malpighiales; Euphorbiaceae
Source: RNAcentral
UGCACACAAAUGAUUUAGAUACGCAACAUAGUUUAAGUCUUACAAAGUCAACUAGUUACACAGCGCAUACGAAGCUUAAAACAGAGUGGCUAGUCUUCAACACAUACUAAUACACAAAGUUCCCUCUAACUAGAAAUAUAUCAACAACCAUCAACAAUCAGUUGAAUACUUACAUUGCCAUAGCUUUCUCCAUGCCUUUCCCAUGAAUUGUCAAGAAUACCUUCCCCGCACUGUCCAAGCUACUCUUGUCAAUCGCAAUAGCUCCGAACAUUGCCCUGAAAGCACCACAAACCACUGCAGGAGCCGACGAAUUGGUCUUCCUAGAAACCCUGAUUAUCUUCUGCAAACCUAAGCGCCCUCCGUCAGCAACGCAUGAUGUUACCACAUUGGAAGACAGAUCCAUGAUGACCCGGUUGAGAUCCUUGGGUGAUAUAUCGAUAUCCUUGCUAAGCAAUUGCAGAGAAACCGAACCUUCAAUUACCUUCUCCCCCAAAACGCUCAAAGCUCUGUUGUUCUCUCCUGAGUAUGAUGCAUGCGUCAGAGCACGUCGUAGUAACUCCACAUCCUGAAAUGUGUACUGGAUUUGAUUUUGAAGGGUUUCGAGAGCGAUCGAGAAAGGGGAAGUGGGUCUCGUUGUUAAGGAGAGAUUUUCCUGAGCCUGAACCUCAGCCUGAAGAGAAGUGUAGAGAGCAAAAGCAAGUAAGAUGAAGCAAAUGAAUUGCCGGAGAUGGCACAUGAUUCCGGCGAACUGUAUCUCGUCGAUGGCGACAAAGUAAAGCUGAGUCGAUGGGUGUCGCUAGUGGGGUGACUUGCG